AAGUCGUAACAAGGUAUCUGUAGGUGAACCUGCAGAUGGAUCAUUUGAAAAAUAAAAUAAUUUGGCUUUCUUUGGCUUUGAGGUGUGGCUUCGCACCUGACUAACUAAAAUUGAGCUACCCAUUUUUACACGGUUGCAUUGGUCAGGCUGUCAAACAGCGCCGCGGUCAAACGCGGUUAGCUGGGUGAACGCCUGUCAAACCAAUUUUGAAUUCACACUUUGGAAUGAUAGGAUUUUGGGAUGUCAUUUGGGAUGAAAGCGACUGGUAAUGCGGUCGUUGAAAUUGAAAAAACAACUUUUGGCAACGGAUCUCUUGGUUCUCC
RNAcentral lists this unclassified non-coding RNA (323 nucleotides) under Tranzscheliella hypodytes. RNAcentral's name for it is "partial internal transcribed spacer region". The stretch from base 1 to 46 matches the Rfam family "Eukaryotic small subunit ribosomal RNA", at positions 1786 to 1831 of the family's 1831-position model. The record is from RNAcentral. Lineage: Eukaryota; Fungi; Basidiomycota; Ustilaginomycetes; Ustilaginales; Ustilaginaceae.